This 505-nucleotide ribosomal RNA is filed under the name uncultured bacterium. RNAcentral's name for it is "bacterial SSU rRNA". It matches the Rfam family "Bacterial small subunit ribosomal RNA", at positions 21 to 518 of the family's 1533-position model. The record is from RNAcentral.
GGCUCAGGAUGAACGCUAGCGAUAGGCUUAACACAUGCAAGUCGAGGGGCAGCACGGUGUAGCAAUACACUGGUGGCGACCGGCGUACGGGUGCGUAACACGUAUGCAACCUACCCGCUAUUGGGGGAUAACCCGGCGAAAGUCGGACUAAUACCCCAUAUUAUUCUUACCGGGCAUCCGGUAGGUCUGAAAGAUUUAUCGAUUGCGGAUGGGCAUGCGGAUGAUUAGCUAGUAGGUGGGGUAACGGCUCACCUAGGCGACGAUCAUUAGGGGUUCUGAGAGGAAGGUCCCCCACACUGGAACUGAGACACGGUCCAGACUCCUACGGGAGGCAGCAGUGAGGAAUAUUGGUCAAUGGGCGCUAGCCUGAACCAGCCAAGUCGCGUGAAGGAUGACAGAAUCUAUGGUUUGUAAACUUCUUUUGCAGGGGAGUAAAGUGCGACACGUGUGUUGUAUUGCAAGUACCCUGCGAAUAAGCAUCGGCUAACUCCGUGCCAGCAGCUGC